AUCUCCAAUUAAUGAAGGGUAGAUUUUUCUGCAGAUAAUGUUUUAGUUUAAAUGUAAAAACUAUAAGUUCUAAGUAUUUAUAAUUUUAAGUGCAGAAAGUAGUUACUGUUAUCCAUCCUGAAAGUAAGAUAUACACAAAAUUUACAUAUUUUAUACAAAU
Molecule: long non-coding RNA, 160 nt
Organism: Telopea speciosissima
Lineage: Eukaryota; Viridiplantae; Streptophyta; Magnoliopsida; Proteales; Proteaceae
Exons: 3
Source: RefSeq, a predicted model, not a curated record